Non-coding RNA from Microcebus murinus (gray mouse lemur), 768 nucleotides. Lineage: Eukaryota; Metazoa; Chordata; Mammalia; Primates; Cheirogaleidae. The record is from RefSeq and is a predicted model, not a curated record.
GGGGCGGAGCCAGCGUGUGAUUGACAGUCGUGAAACCAACGCAGGGGAAAGGUCAGGCUAACGGAGACGCCACCUUCGGUUGAACUGUAACAGCAUGUAGGAGCUAUGAUAAAAGGAUUCACAGUCAAGAGGAUAAACGUGAAUCACAUACAUGAGGAGGAAGUGCAGGUGAUAUGGAACGAUGUAACUGUCAUCGGGUCUUGGGGACAUCUGGUCUGAGUUAGGUACAGGACAAUAAAGGAGGCAGUUAAUCAACAGCAAAGGAUUACCUGAAAGAGAAGGAACUUUCUCAAAGCCUCUGGCAUCAAAGCUCCAGAAAGAAAGAAGCACCUUUUAAAGAUUAUCAAACAGGAAGGAGAUAAUGACAACCGGAAAACACAAUGUGCAAUUGGUUCCAAGGUCCUCUAAAUCCAUUAUACAAGUGGCACAAUAAGAAGGUGAAAAAUCCUCCAUUUAUAAUAGGCGACUUAGACAAGCAAGGCAUAAGCACCAACAUGUAAAAGGCCAGCUAGAGACUUCUUUGCCUUUCCCUGAGCAAGAAGAAAUUUCGACAGUAGAUGACCUUUGGACUUGAACUAUAACAUCAGCACUUCCCUGUGUCUCCAGACCAAAGACCUACCCUCCAGAUUUUGGACUUUCCAACCUCCAUAAUCACAUGAGCCAAUAACUAAAAAUAAAUCUCUUUCCAAAUAUAUAUAUACAUACAGACUCUAUUGGUUCUAUUUCUCUAGAGAACCCUGACUAAUAAAUGAGAUGUAAUAAACUGAA